GACGAACGCUGGCGGCGUGCUUAACACAUGCAAGUCGAACGGAAAGGCCUCUUUCGGGGGGUACUCGAGUGGCGAACGGGUGAGUAACACGUGAGUAACCUGCCCUUGACUUUGGGAUAACUUCAGGAAACAGGGGCUAAUACCGGAUAGGAGCUCCUGCUGCAUGGUGGGGGUUGGAAAGUUUCGGCGGUUGGGGAUGGACUCGCGGCUUAUCAGCUUGUUGGUGGGGUAGUGGCUUACCAAGGCUUUGACGGGUAGCCGGCCUGAGAGGGUGACCGGCCACAUUGGGACUGAGAUACGGCCCAGACUCCUACGGGAGGCAGCAGUGGGGAAUAUUGCACAAUGGGUGGAAGCCUGAUGCAGCAACGCCGUGUGCGGGAUGACGGCCUUCGGGUUGUAAACCGCUUUCGCUCAUGACGAAGCUUUGUGUGACGGUAGUGGGUAAAGAAGCACCGGCUAACUACGUG
Molecule: ribosomal RNA, 467 nt
Filed under: uncultured bacterium
Lineage: Bacteria
Description: partial 16S ribosomal RNA
Rfam family: Bacterial small subunit ribosomal RNA
Source: RNAcentral